AAAUUCUAGGAACAAUUAGGAGGCCCGCGUCUUGUGACCGUAGCGUACGUGUAGGUAUGUACGGCAGGACCAAAUCGGAAAGAUAGGUAGGAGCAAGCCCAUGUAAUGCUUUUUUGGUGUGGCGCCAUUUCCGUUCCAAUUUUCUGGAAGCUUGCUUCAGAGCUCGUGUAUUUCUGUAUACCAGGGAGCUAGUUUCUUAUGACAAAUGUUUUUCGUUUUUAGGGGUGCAACUGCAUCUAGGGUAUUGCGCAAGGUUAAAUUGAGUUCCUCGGUUAGGUGGUUAACUGAUUUUUGUCCUCUGACGUCCUUGGGUAGGCAGAGGCAGUCUGGAAGGACAUCAAGGAAUCUUUGGGUUGUCUGAGAAUUUAUAGCACGACUUUUAAUGCUCCUUGGUUGGGGUCUGAGCAGAUUAUUUGUUGCGAUUGCAUACGUAAUAAAAUGGUGGUCCGAUAGUCC
RNAcentral lists this long non-coding RNA (456 nucleotides) under Salmo salar (Atlantic salmon). Its description in RNAcentral is "lncRNA (ENSSSAG00000121269.1)". The record is from RNAcentral. Lineage: Eukaryota; Metazoa; Chordata; Actinopteri; Salmoniformes; Salmonidae.